AUGAAGGGGGGAGAAGCAGGCUUCUGCCUGCAGCCCCAGCUCCUCCGCUCUGUGCAGGCGCCAACCCGCACGCCCAGCUCAUGGGCACAUGCUGCGGGGGGACCCCUGCCUCCCUGGAGACCCCCUCGCCCCCCCAGGAGGUGGGGGCAGGGCAGGGCUGGGACCACUGCAACUGCUCAUGUGUCCCAAAGCAAAGACGCAGCUAAAACGACAGCAACCGGCCACAGUUCCUCGUGUCCCCUGCUUUCCCCACCGGCCACACGCCUGCAGCUCGGCUGGCCCCGUUGCACAUGCAGAUGUUUCCCCCCCAGCCCCAGUACGGGCCCCCCCGCAGCCGGGUCCUUACCUGGGUGCGAGUGGAGACUGAUGCCAGAUGCCAGGUACUUGCCAGGCGGCAGAGGUGCUGGUAGCCCCGCGGCCAGCGGCCCGGCAGAGGGGCCGAGGCGGCCGGCGGCGCUGGCGGCUCCCACGCGGUGCCCCUCCAUGCUCAACCCGGGCAGCAGCGGUGGCGGCACAUGCACGGCUCGGGGGGGCCCGAAGUCGCGGCCAUCCAUCCUCCUCCCGCGCGGGCUCAGGCAGAGCGGGGCCCCCCGGGCUGGGCGCGUCCCAUGGCGCUGCGACGGGCCGCGCGGCGUCUGCCUGCAGGAUGGACGCAGUGGGUUAGCCAGGAUUGGGCCCUGCCACCGGGCCGCACUCCCCGCCCGCCCGCUCCCCGUGGCCCAUUGCCCGCCGUACCGUCCGCGUCCCCUCCGCAGUCCCCCGGCGGGGCAGGGUCUCCAGCAGCCCUGGGACGGGCUGGGAAUUCAAGCCCGCUGGAGCCCGGCUCAGCGCGGGGGGCUGCGGGAGGCGCGGGCACCGACACGGACGCGGAUCACUUCGACCCCUCUCCCGCUUGGCGUCGGGACCGAGGAUUUGUUGUCAGUGCGGAGACACCAGCCCCCUCGCUGCACUGAUAUAAAUGUUACAGUCCCUAGAACACCUAUACCAGCGAUUCGCCUUCUAGGCAGAGAUACACUGUAUAGGAUCACGUAUUACUAUAUAUAA
RNAcentral lists this long non-coding RNA (1044 nucleotides) under Crocodylus porosus (Australian saltwater crocodile). Its description in RNAcentral is "lncRNA (ENSCPRG00005016211.1)". Lineage: Eukaryota; Metazoa; Chordata; Crocodylia; Crocodylidae. The record is from RNAcentral.